AUUGAACGCUGGCGGCAGGCCUAACACAUGCAAGUCGAGCGAGCGGCGGACGGGUGAGUAAUGUGUGGGAAACUGCCAGAUGGAGGGGGAUAACUAGUGGAAACGGUAGAUAAUACCGCAUCCCAUAAGAUGUGCGCAGAUGGGAUUAGCUAGUAGGUGGGGGAAUGGCUAACCUAGGCGACGAUCCCUGGCUGGUCUGAGAGGAUGACCAGCCACACUGGAACGGAGACACGGUCCAGACUCCUACGGGAGGCAGCAUUGGGGAAUAUUGCACAAUGGGCGCAAGCCUGAUGCAGCCAUGCCGCGUGUGUGAAGAAGGCCUUCGGUUUGUAAAGCACUUUCAGCUGGGAGGCGUUACCCGCAGAAGAAGCACCGGCUAACUCCGUGCCAGCAGCCGCGGUAAUAC
Molecule: ribosomal RNA, 406 nt
Filed under: uncultured bacterium
Lineage: Bacteria
Description: partial 16S ribosomal RNA
Rfam family: Bacterial small subunit ribosomal RNA
Source: RNAcentral